AGUGAACGCUGGCGGUAGGCCUAACACAUGCAAGUCGAACGGCAGCACAGUAAGAGCUUGCUCUUACGGGUGGCGAGUGGCGGACGGGUGAGGAAUACAUCGGAAUCUACUUUUUCGUGGGGGAUAACGUAGGGAAACUUACGCUAAUACCGCAUACGACCUACGGGUGAAAGCAGGAGAUCUUCGGACCUUGCGCGAUUGAAUGAGCCGAUGUCGGAUUAGCUAGUUGGCGGGGUAAAGGCCCACCAAGGCGACGAUCCGUAGCUGGUCUGAGAGGAUGAUGAGCCACACUGGAACUAAGACACGGACCAGACUCCUACGGGAGGCAGCAUUGGGGAAUAUUGGACAAUGGGCGGAAGCCUGAUCCAGCCAUACCGCGUGGGUGAAGAAGGCCUUCGGGUUGUAAAGCCCUUUUGUUGGGAAAGAAAAGCAGCAGGUUAAUACCCCGCUGUUCUGACGGUACCCAAUAAAUAAGCACCGGCUAACUUCGUG
Molecule: ribosomal RNA, 492 nt
Filed under: uncultured bacterium
Lineage: Bacteria
Description: partial 16S ribosomal RNA
Rfam family: Bacterial small subunit ribosomal RNA
Source: RNAcentral